Molecule: ribosomal RNA, 229 nt
Filed under: uncultured bacterium
Lineage: Bacteria
Description: partial 16S ribosomal RNA
Rfam family: Bacterial small subunit ribosomal RNA
Source: RNAcentral
UACGUAGGCGGACUAGUAAGUAUCUUGUGAAAUCCCAUGGCUCAACCAUGGAACUGCUGGGUAUACUGCUAGUCUUGAGAUUGGUAGGGGCUGCUGGAACUCUAGGUGGAGCGGUGAUAUGCAUAGAUAUCUAGAGGAACGUCAAAGGCGAAGGCAAGCAGCUGGGCCAAUUCUGACGCUGAGGUACGAAAGCGUGGGGAGCGAACAGGAUUAGAUACCCUGGUAGUCC